AUGAACGCUGGCGGCAUGCCUUACACAUGCAAGUCGAACGGCAGCAUGACCUAGCUUGCUAGGUUGAUGGCGAGUGGCGAACGGGUGAGUAAUGCAUCGGAACGUGCCUUUUAGUGGGGGAUAACGUAGCGAAAGUUACGCUAAUACCGCAUAUUCUCUGAGGAGGAAAGCAGGGGACCUUCGGGCCUUGCGCUAGAAGAGCGGCCGAUGUCGGAUUAGCUAGUUGGUGAGGUAAAGGCUCACCAAGGCAACGAUCCGUAGCGGGUCUGAGGGGAUGAUCCGCCACACUGGGACUGAGACACGGCCCAGACUCCUACGGGAGGCAGCAGUGGGGAAUUUUGGACAAUGGGCGCAAGCCUGAUCCAGCCAUGCCGCGUGAGUGAAGAAGGCCUUCGGGUUGUAAAGCUCUUUCGGCUGGGAAGAAAUCGCACCCUCUAAUACAGGGUGUGGAUGACGGUACCAGCAUAAGAAGCACCGGCUAACUACGUG
RNAcentral lists this ribosomal RNA (489 nucleotides) under uncultured bacterium. RNAcentral describes it as "partial 16S ribosomal RNA". It matches the Rfam family "Bacterial small subunit ribosomal RNA", at positions 29 to 507 of the family's 1533-position model. The record is from RNAcentral.